RNAcentral lists this long non-coding RNA (7798 nucleotides) under Nicotiana tabacum (common tobacco). RNAcentral's name for it is "long non-coding RNA (NTAB_LNC001539)". Lineage: Eukaryota; Viridiplantae; Streptophyta; Magnoliopsida; Solanales; Solanaceae. The record is from RNAcentral.
UCCUUAGUACCUCAGAUUUUUAGGAUCUAAGACGUUUUCAAAGCUCCUAGCAGGUUUUUUUUGAAGGUUACACUUAUAACUCCAGCACUAUUACUGGGUCUCUGAUGUUAGAUAGCUGCAGUUACAUUUAAUUGAAAAGAUUCGUGACUUUUCAAAAAGAAUAUAUUCUUUAUUUUUGAGUUUGAGGAUACAAAGGCAUGUUAAUUGAGUUAACCCAUGGUUUUAAAGAUAUGCAAUCUUUUUCAAGAAUAUCAUACGGAUUUUCUCCUCCUAUUUUGCUCCGUCAUUACGUGUUGUCGCAAUUGACAUGUGUUAGAGGGAUUGUCAAGAGAAUCGGCUCAGGCAUGUUAAGGCUAUCUCUUCUCUCUUUUUGGCAUGAUCUAUACGACACGAACGAAACGAGCAAAUGCAUAAUUUUCAUAAAUGACUCUAUUCAUAAAAAUAUUAGGGGUGUCUAUAUACUUGAUUUUCCCAUGUGAAUUAUUAUAUAUCUUCUGUUCAUGGGUCUCAGAAAAAUACGUAUUUGAUAAAAUUUAUCCGACAAACAUAUUAUUUUUGUGACAUUCUGAGAAAAUCUUAUUAACGUAUUUCUUAUGCAUUUCAUGAAUUUAUACAUGUACAUCGAUCCAUGACCAGAUGGCAUUAUAUACGCGUAUAUAUAUGUAUAUGUAUAUGUAUAUGGGAUAUGGGAAAAGGUUACGGCGUUAUAUACGCACCACCACCUGAUCAGCUGGUAUACAUUGAUGAUUUGCCCAAAGUGGCCGAAAUGAUAUGAUGGGAUGCCCUCAGAUGCUUGAUGAUGUUAUGAAUACAUAUACCUAUACAUGGUAUGACAUUUAUACGCAUAUGCAUGAUGUUAUAAAAAUGAAAUGAUUAACAGAGUUAUGCAGACGUACAUGUCGAGUCUUUUACUCUAUGUUUCUCUCAUGUCUAUUAUUUACUGAUUUUCAUUCCUUACAUACUCGGUACAUUAUUUGUACUGAUGUCCCUUUUUGCCCGGGAACGCUGUGUUUCAUGCCCGCAGGUCUCAAUAGAUAGGUCGAGAGUCCUCCAAGUAGGCGAUCAGCUCAGCGGAAGAUGUUGGUACACUCCAUUUGCUUCGGAGUUACUUGUUUGGUCAGUAUAAUUUAUAUGUGUAUUAUUUGGUAUGGUGGGGCUCUGUCCCGACCUUAAUGACAAUUAUGUAUUCGUAGAGGCUUGUAGACAGAUGUCAUGUACGGAUACUUCUAUGGCCUUGUCGGCCUAUGUUUUGAGUUUGUAAAUGAUCAUGUUGGCCUUAUAGGCCCGUAUGUCACGUAUGUAAGUUUCUAUAUCAGAUUGGGUCGUUCUAUGUUUAUUCUAGUUAGCCCAUGAUGGCCUGUUUGGCCCAUUUGCCAAUGAUAGUACGAUAUGAAAGAUACGGUACGUUGGUACUCUGUUGAGUAAGGCACCGGGUGCCCGUCGCGGCCCAUUGAUUUGGGUCGUGACAAAAGUGGUAUCAGAGCAGUACUGUCCUAGGGAGUCUACAAGCCGUGUCUAGUAGAUUCUUAUUUAUGGGUGUGUCGUGCACCAUACUUAUAAGCAGGAGGCUACAGGGCAUUUGGGACUGUCACUCUUUCUUCUUACUGUAGAUCGUGUGGUAGAGCUCAGUUGUAAGAACUCAAUUUCCUAAACUUUAUCUUAUUCGUAAUACAACGAUGCCUACAUCCAGAAAGACGGUUGGUAAGAGAUAUAGCUGUGGAAGAGUUGAGUCAGAGGAACUCAAUUUUUGCAUCAUGCUUAUGAUGGAUAAAUAUGAGGUAUUCAGCAGAUCAUGUGUNNNNNNNNNNNNNNNNNNNNNNNNNNNNNNNNNNNNNNNNNNNNNNNNNNNNNNNNNNNNNNNNNNNNNNNNNNNNNNNNNNNNNNNNNNNNNNNNNNNNNNNNNNNNNNNNNNNNNNNNNNNNNNNNNNNNNNNNNNNNNNNNNNNNNNNNNNNNNNNNNNNNNNNNNNNNNNNNNNNNNNNNNNNNNNNNNNNNNNNNNNNNNNNNNNNNNNNNNNNNNNNNNNNNNNNNNNNNNNNNNNNUUGAUAAAGAACCUUAAGGCAAGAAUAUUUAUCCACCUUUAUGGUGAAAGACAAUGAGAGAUUCAGAAGAUAAAUACAAGUUUCAAGAAGUAAAAGAAGCAAGAUGAAGAAUGGUACGAAGUACCCAGUUAAUAACAAUUAUCAUUAUUUACCAUUCAGAGAGGGAGAUAUAAGUAUUUUGAGUUACCUUCAACAGUGACAGAUGUAUGUACAAUCGGCCACACCGAUCUCAGUUAUGCCCUAUGGGAGGUAACAAACAUAGUUUAAGAGAAGGACGAGUUAUCAGGAUCCGGCUGCGGAUAGAGUAACCCAAAAUAGUGGAUGGAUUGGUAGAGUUAGUUGACAUUUCCGAAGGAUAGUGCAAAUAUGGUAAUGGAUCUCCUGGUGAGACACCUCGAUGGUGCACCCUAAAAUAGUACAACUAGAUAUGAGUACUACAAAGAUAAGCACUAGAAGCCUGGAAAGGAAAAAUAUUAUCUUAGUAUGGCUCCCGUCCCUAGUAGAGAGAGAAUGUUAGGCAACCCGAAGAGCCAGUAGAUGGAGCAAGGGAAGCUAAAAGCAAGAGAAUAUCUUGUUGAAGUUUUCAGAAUAAGGUGAUAGACAGAGAUGAUAGCAGGGAAAUAAGAAGAGAGUUAAUAAAGCAUUAUGAGUAAGAUGUCAAUAUGGAUGACAACGGUGGAUCAAAAAGAUGACAGUAUUACAGAGUCUAUAGUCAAUUGAAGAAAAAGACGAGAGGUAACAGGCCUUGAAACAACAAAAGAGUAUAGGCCAUAAAGUCAUAUCCUUAUUUCAAGAAAUAAGUUCGUAACUCCAACACGACUACCAGAAGGAAAAGUUAGACUCCAGAACAAUAGAAAUCAGUAUGGGUUGGUGAACAAGAUAAACUAAGCAUGAAUUAGGGACUGAGUUAUUGGAUAAUAGUCAGCAUCAUGAGAAUUUCAAAUUUCGUUCCGGCGAUAAUAGAGUGGACAAUAGAAGAAGAUUUAUGAGAAAUUCAUAGAAUGGUCAUUGAGGAAGACACUUCCCUAAAGCAGGCAAGGUGAGUAAAGUUAAGUUUAAGGGACUGUAUGUGCCAGUUACACUAAGUGUCACCCUCGCGAGUGAGGAAUUUCAUUAUCCUUGGUACUGAAGGAUUACCGCGAGGCAAGUAAGGAUCAUCGAUAAUGUGAAAAGAUGCCAAAGAUGAGAGGAUAAAACAUCUAUAUAUAGAUCAUUGUAUCACUAAAUCUUAGUGCUCCCCUAAAAAUGGGAAUAUGGUGUGAUAUGACAUUAGUUCAGAAUUAAGUGGUUCUAGUAACUAUGAAAAUGGUAAAGAAAGAAUGUGAUAAGAAUGAGAAAGGGAUAAGAUUUUACUUAUUCAAGUCCUGUAGAUACGCUACGAUUCCAGAAUAUUAUGCAAACACGACAUCAGGGAGAGGAGGUAAGGGUUCCUGCCUGAGAUGUUAUUGAUAGAUAAGGAGCAAGUGCGAGAUGUAAGUUAAGAUAAAGGAAAUGACGCAUGAAAAAUUAUGCAGAAUAUUGAUAUGAGAAUGAGCCAAUGAGUAGUUAGUAGUUGAUUCAGGAAGAGCCUAGUUGUGUCUAGACAAGAGGAUAUAGACAAAUCAAUAGAUCGUGCAAGAUAAACAGAGUGAACCCCAACAUGGGGAAUUCAGUCGCGCAGAUAUGACAUCGUGACCUUGAGAAAUAUUCGGAUAGGAGUUGGGGUAGUUAAAGAUACCGUAUGAGUGUUAAGGGAAGACAGUCAAAACUUCAGUUCGGGAGCAACCGUACAAGCAUAUAAGUAUGGAGGUAAGUAACUAAGGAAUUUUAUAUGUGAUUAUGAACAUCAAAUAUUCCGUUGAGUAUACGAUGUAAUAAGCUCGCAGCCUUGCAAGAAUCAGAGGGUCCUCCCUAGGUACUACAAUAAAAGACUAGCAGAGGAAAUAAGGAAGAAGGUUUUAACCAAGCACAGUCACCUAAAGAGGAAAUGGUCAUGUACAAACAGUCUCACAACAACAUUGUAUGCACUCCAUCAGCGUGGGCACUAAAAUAAGCUAAGUAUGCACGCAACAAGGAGGCAGAACGACUAGGAAAAGCAAUUGCUUGCAUUUAAAGAAAGUUGAGAAGGAAUGAAAGGAAUUAUUCGACCAAUGAUCCAGAGAUAAUUACAUAAUGAAUGUACCUAAGAUUUCGGAGUAUUAUCCAUGCGGCAUAUAUGUUGACAAUCAUACAAGCUGUAGAAGACUCCGGUAUAAGUUAAAAGAAAGAAUUAAGCCCAGAAAAUAAACAAAGGAUUAAAUGGCUAGAAGAUUGCAUCAUGGAUAUUCUAUAGCACCCAUGGAAGGCUAAAGUAAUAACUAAUACCAGGAGCCACAGAUCGGAAGAUAGCUUAAGCCUACAUAAAAGUUGAUCAGAAGGAAGAGAAAACUAAAGAGUUACAACAACGAAGUAAAUCAAGAGUCUGAUUAUUGUACCUAGAAAAUUAUAGAAAUUGCGCUUGAGAACAUGGUAGAAUCACUCUUAAUAUCAGAGGUGCAAGAGAGAUAAUGCAACAACCAUAUUCUAUAAUAGCUCUAUAAGGAAGCUGGCUAGAAGAAGUACCAACCUUAUAAGAAGUCGGUAUGAAUCUCUCACCGGAUUAUGUAUGCACCAAAGGUGCAAGUAUUAUAAUAGAGCUUCAAGUUGUGGAUGUGAAUCAUACCUAUAUGGAAGGGAGGUCAUGAAAGAAAUAGAAAAUGUAAUGCGAGAUUUUAAGGUAAGGUAAAGGUGAAAAACGUACGAGAUACUCAAAUGCAGAAGGUUGUGAGUAGUCCAUAAUGCGGAUAAAAGGCUAGAAGCGUGGGGAUUCAGUAUCCAGGAAUGAUAGCAGCGUCGUCAGUAGCAUACCUUCCAGCCUAUGGUUUCUAAGUACCGAAAUUUUUAAUUAAGAGAGUAAAGAAGAGUUAGAGACGAUGUAAUGUCUCACUUGAUGUUCCAGAAAAGCAUAAGGAAAUUGAUCGCAAGCUAAGUAUGGUAGAGCGACAAAGGUUUACAAGACAUGAGCAAGUAUAAAGAAAGGCGAGUAAGAAGGUAACGAAAAUGGAUAAGUCCUCAGGAUUAAGCCCAUGAAAACAAGAAGAGCUGAUGGUUUCUCUAAGUAUAAAAAGCUCAGUAUAGCCUGAAUGAAAUCAAAGGAGUCUAAGACUAGUAGCAUUUAGAAGAGAUGGAAUGUUGCCUUGGUAGCAGAAUAAGGGUGUGAUUGUGAUAAAUAAAUGAUGAUGUUUGGGCCUUCGCUUGAGAAAGGAUUUGAAGAACAAAAAUAAAGGAAGGGGAUCUCGUGAAUUGUAUAGGAUUAAAAUACCCACGUAAGAUGAAUCACAUUGGGAUGCUAUGAAAUACGGUUAUGAAAGCUUGGUAUUGCCCCAGAUGGACCAGUCUAAUCAUUUCAGAUAUUCCUCGAUGCAACGUAAGCCCUAGUGGCAAGGUAUGACGUAAAAAGUUUCAAGUUAUCAGUGGUAUAUUGUAGAUUAACAUUGAGGUGAAUCAACAAUCGAUGGAUAAAAGUACAAAGUAUGAGAUGAGAUUAGGCAAUCAUUCUUAAGAUGAACGGUAAGGAAGAAACAUUAAAGGACUUGAAUUUAUUCACAGAACAAUUGCCAAGAUGGUAAGAAGACUACUAAAGUAUUCGGAAGGUAUAGGUUACAAAAAUGAUAAGUGCAUCAGUCAACAUUCGAGGAUGAAUGUUCCAAAGGGGAAAUAAUGUUACAUCCCAUAUUUUCGUACGUGAAAGUACGCCAUAAGUAAAUUGAUGCAAGCUCGGGAAUGAGAUUAUUUUGAGGUUACAAGUAUUAUGCUAUUUCAAACAAGUGAUAAGUAAAUUCGUGAAGGUGAAAGGAUAAGCGAAUCGAAGAAAGCGAGUUUCGUCAAAGUUUGACAUGUUGGGAUAAAAUAUGGCCCGAGCUAAAAUACCGGUAUUUAUGGACUAGUGUCAUACAAGGUACUACAUGACCAUGAUAGUAGGAUGUAUAAGAUAUGUGAGAAGUGAGUAGUAUUUUAAGUAAGUGAAAAUAAUUCUUAAUUAUAUGGGUAAUUAGUUAAUUAUUGGGUAAUGGGACAUUACCUAGUUAAUUAAUAAUUAGUGGUUAAUUAAUUGAAGUCUUUGGAUAAAGAUUGGACACAAAACGUGGCAGCCACAUAAAACAUAAAACUGCAUUAAGUGACUCUUAAAUUAUUUUUGCAAGGUGGCAACAUUUAAAGAUGCCUUUAUCUCAUUUGGUUAAGAAUAUAAUCAUAAAGGGCCAAAGAUGGUGCAGCCCUUUAGAUUCCUUUCUUGCAUGUAGUCGAUGGCCUUUCAUCUUCUUUUCAGACAGUUUGUUUCUUUUCUAGCUAUGUAUCUGUUUAGUAAAAGAAAUUCUUAUUGUUAGUUAACUAUUCAAUGAGAAAUCUGUUUCUUAUGAAGAAUUUAAACAAAAGACGUGUUCCAUCCUUGUUGAUGAAGAAGUCUUUCUCAUGAGAUGUAGUUUUCUAGUGAAAGGUGUAGUCUGUUCAUUCUACUUUGAGUUUUCAUCCCUCAGCCCACAUGUCCUUCCUUAGUACCUCAGAUUUUUAGGAUCUAAGACGUUUUCAAAGCUCCUAGCAGGUUUUUGUUUUGAAGGUUACACUUAUAACUCUAACACUAAUACUGGGUCUCUGAUGUUAGAUAGCUGCAGUUACAUUUAAUUGAAAAGAUUCGUGACUUUUCAAAAAGAAUAUAUUCUUUAUUUUUGAGUUUGAGGAUACAAAGGCAUGUUAAUUGAGUUAACCCAUGGUUUUAAAAAUAUGCAAUCUUUUUCAAGAAUAUUAUACGGAUUUUUUUUUCCUAUUUCGCUCCGUCGUUACGUGUUGUCGCAAUUGACGUGUGUUAGAGGGAUUGUCAAGAGAAUCGCCUCAGGUAUGUUAAGGCUAUUCAUUCUCUCUUUUUGGCAUGAUCUAUACGACACGAACGAAACGAGCAAAUGCACAAUUUCCAUAAAUGACUCUAUUCAUAGAAAUAUUAUGGGUGUCUAUAUUCUUGAUUUCCCCAUGUGAAUUAUUAUAUAUCUUCUAUUCAUGGGUCUCAGAAAAAUACGUAUUUGAUAAAAUUUAUCCGACAAGCAUAUUAUUUUUAUAACAAUCUGAGAAAAUCUUAUUAACGUAUUUCUUAUGCAUUUCAUGCAUUUAUACAUGUACAUCAACCCAUGACCAGAUGACGUUAUAUACGCGCGUAUAUGUAUAUAUAUGUAUAUGGGAUAUGGGAAAAUGUUACAGCGUUAUAUACGCACCACCNNNNNNNNNNNNNNNNNNNNNNNNNNNNNNNNNNNNNNNNNNNNNNNNNNNNNNNNNNNNNNNNNNNNCAGACGUACAUGUCGAGUCGUUUACUCCAUGUUUCUCUCAUGUCUAUUAUUUACUGAUUUUCAUUCCUUACAUACUCGGUACAUUAUUUGUACUGACGUCCCUUUUGUCCGGGGACACUGCGUUUCAUGCCCGCAGGUCUAAAUAGACAGGUCGAGAGUCCUCCAAGUAGGCGACCAGCUCAAGGGAAGAUGUUGGUGUACUCCAUUUGCUUCAGAGUUGCUUGGUUGGUCAGUAUAAUUUAGAUGUGUAUUGUUUGGUAUGACGGGGCUCUUUCCCGACCUUUAUGACAAUUAUGUAUUCUUAAAGGCUUGUAGACAGAUGUCAUGUACGGAUACUCGUAUGGCCUUGUCAGCCUAUGUUUUGAGUUUACAAAUGAUCAUGUUGGCCUUAUAGGCCCGUAUGUCACGUAUGGUUUCAAUAUCAGGC